UCAGUGUGAGAGGUGAUGUGAAAUCAUACGAUAUAUCUAUGUCACAUGAGCUCACUUUUAUGUGAAAGUUUAUCUGCCUAUUGUAUAUGAUGAGAUGUGCAUAUUCGGUAAAGGGAUGGUAUGCCCGAAGGAAGAGUGAAAUAAAAAUACGAACAACUAUGUUAUAAUUUGAUUGUUAUCUGUUGACACUGCUUAAAACUUACUAAGCAUUGUAAUGCUUACUCCGUUUACUCUGUUUUCUCUGUUUUAUAGAUCUCAUUGCGAAGCUACAGGCUCGGGGAUCGUCAGCAACUAGUCACACUAUCACUAUCCACUGUUUGGUACUGCUAUGUUUUGGAUUAUCUUAUGGCA
RNAcentral lists this long non-coding RNA (351 nucleotides) under Gossypium barbadense (sea-island cotton). RNAcentral's name for it is "long non-coding RNA (GBAR_LNC012480)". Lineage: Eukaryota; Viridiplantae; Streptophyta; Magnoliopsida; Malvales; Malvaceae. The record is from RNAcentral.